Molecule: ribosomal RNA, 463 nt
Filed under: uncultured bacterium
Lineage: Bacteria
Description: partial 16S ribosomal RNA
Rfam family: Bacterial small subunit ribosomal RNA
Source: RNAcentral
CUACGGGUUGCUGCAGUGGGGAAUAUUGCACAAUGGGCGCAAGCCUGAUGCAGCCAUGCCGCGUGUAUGAAGAAGGCCUUCGGGUUGUAAAGUACUUUCAGCGGGGAGGAAGGGAGUAAAGUUAAUACCUUUGCUCAUUGACGUUACCCGCAGAAGAAGCACCGGCUAACUCCGUGCCAGCAGCCGCGGUAAUACGGAGGGUGCAAGCGUUAAUCGGAAUUACUGGCGUAAAGCGCACGCAGGCGGUUUGUUAAGUCAGAUGUGAAAUCCCCGGGCUCAACCUGGGAACUGCAUCUGAUACUGGCAAGCUUGAGUCUCGUAGAGGGGGGUAGAAUUCCAGGUGUAGCGGUGACAUGCGUAGAGAUCUGGAGGAAUACCGGUGGCGAAGGCGGCCCCCUGGACGAAGACUGACGCUCAGGUGCGAAAGCGUGGGGAGCAAACAGGAUUAGAUACCCCCGUAGUC